Molecule: long non-coding RNA, 2986 nt
Organism: Oenanthe melanoleuca
Lineage: Eukaryota; Metazoa; Chordata; Aves; Passeriformes; Muscicapidae
Exons: 3
Source: RefSeq, a predicted model, not a curated record
GUUAAAAUAUUAGAAAUCAUAUUAGACUGACAGAAAACUUGUAGCUAUGUUAAGCCUAAAAUAAUUCUGAGUAUCUUCAUUUUAUGAAGCUCUUACAUAACCUAGGAGCUGGCAGGAGUUAGACUGACUCAGAAUCCCUGGGUACUUCUGGGUUUUAAGUAUGUCAUACUAGUGUCCUUUCACUCCAGCUGAAGAAAAAUGAUUCUAAUGUUCCAGUGACUUCAAAUGAAGUUUCCUUUUUUUUUUUUUUUUCUAGACAGGACCCUUUAGAACAGGACUAGCAAAUGUGGGAAGAAGGGAUAAGUAACACUCUGCCUUUUUUAUCCCUAUUAAAACAUGGUUGGUAUUUUAGAUAUAUGAAAUCCUGAUGACCAGACUCAUAUCAAUCCUAAUGCUGCUGACAGUUUUGUGGAGGAGAUCUUUGGAGAUAACAUGGAAAACAAAACUCAGACUGGAAAUGAUGAUUCAUCUUCAUGAAGGAAAUCUGUCAAUGAAACAGUAUAAUUAAAACAGUCCAUAGCACAGGGUUAGCAAUGAACCAGGACACUGAAACCAACUGCCAGAGCGGUGCCACACAUGCUUGUGUUAUGCACCGACAUUUAAGACAUACAAAGAAAAAUGGCCUCAGGGGAACCACCUCCAAUGAAUCACAGAAGGUUUGUUCAAACAGUUUUCGAUUACUCACUCUGAGCACACAUUGGCUGAAGAGGUUUAGAUAAUCUGCUGUACAGGAACGGAUUGGUGGGGAGGAUCACCAGACAGCAUUGCACCAGCCCACGUCAUUUCUGGAUGCCCUCCAAAGGCAGGACGCAAACACAACUGCUGAGCAGCCUGUUCCUGCCAGAGCGUAGGGAGGCACUGGCCCAGCAGUGCCCUGCAGGAAACUUUCCCUUCCAGGACACGGGGAAGUUUUGUGCUGCAGCAUUCAUGGGAGCAUGGAGAAACCUGCUCCUGCUGCUCUCUCGUUCCACCAGCUGUGGAUUUUUGUGGCUGGAUACAGUUGGACAGAGAGCAGUCACUCAAGUUCCAUCAUGUACUCGGGGCAGGCUUACGUACAACAUAAGCACUUCUAAAAUGCUGCAGUCUGGCUUUGCUUCUUUUUUGGUUCUGAGGUCAGUUCACUGUUUAUUAUCUGAAUGCAAAAAGCAGCAGACAGGUAAUGUGGGAGGAGCAUACUUGUGCCUUCUCAAUUUUAAAUCCCUUUAAUAUUUUGCUUCUCAGUCAGAUUUACUAAAUAAUUCCCACCCAUGUUUCCAUAUUUUGCCAAAUUAUUUUGUAAAAUUUAAGGUUUAUUGAUGUUAUUCUGACUGAAUAAAUAGUGUACUCAUGACUGAUUUCACAAUUAAUUCUAGGAUAUAUGCCACGUUAUUUCAAAGUACUAUGAUAACUUGCAGUAUUUAGACUGCAAGCUUAAUCCAGAUCUGGAAUCUGAAAUUAAUUUUAACCUGAUCAGUUUUAUUGUCAUGUCAUAGACACCUUCUGAGGAGUAAGCUACUAAAACAAAAUACCGUAGGCUCUUCUGGUAGAGAGUAAAAAUACAGGCAAAAAAGAAAGUGAGAGUCAAAUUCCCUCAUAUAUUGAUUUAAUAAACUGCCUUUUCACACCCCAGGGAUAAAAAAUCCCCAACACAAUGAAGCUGUUUCUAAAAGUAUUCUUAGUGAGCUGAGUGGAAAUACUCAGAAUCAUGAUUACUUGUUUAUUGGAGUGGGUGGUUAUUUUUUCUUAUUUUAUUAAUAGGUACAUGUUUUUCUAGCAUCUUUCUGAUCCCUGUGCUCCCAGCCUUGGAACAGCAGGGCCUGCAGGAAGGGUGGUGCUAGGCAUGGGAACACCCCUGAGCACUGGACAGGUGUUGGAGCUGGAAGGGAUAAUCUUCUGUUUAGACAUGGUACCAAUACUGGUCUAGGUAAACAUGUCACUUGCUGUCUGCUCUGACUGAUUCCCAGAGCUCAUGUCCAUAACAUCCUGGCCUAUUGGUACUUCCAGGAGACUGAAGCCAAGGUAACUAUUUAUGCUAAUAUUAACUUUGUGGAAAGCAGAUGCAAACAUAUCAAUGAGGGCUGACAUCAUGAUUAAAGAUUUUCCUUCUUUUCCUAAAGAUUUGUGUACUUUUACAUCAAAUCUAAAAUACACUUACUACAACAUCUUUUGGCAUAAACUGAGUGUUUCUUGGGGCAUGUUGAUGGCCAUAUACCACCAUCCUCUUCUACACUGACUUGUGCACACACACUGUUUUCUGUUCAUCAGUCUGAGGAUGUGCUCCAAGAGCAGCUCUGAGUCUGAGCAGAGUCCCAGGCUGUGAUUAAACUCCUCAGAAUGUUUGCAUCCCCAAAUGACCACGCGCUCUGAGCCCAGUGAUGAUGAAAUGCAGAAGAGCUGUAAUGCCUUCUUGGUUUUGGGACCUAACCCUUGCCAAAUACCUCACUAGGGCUUCUAGGCUUCUGUGUCCAGCAUCUCAAUUUCCAGGGUUCCACUAUCCAAACUCUGGAUGAACCUCACAUUGUUAUGACCAAGAUUAAGCCCAGAAUCAAGUAAGAUAAAUCAAUCAUAGGCUUAUAUGUGCAAGGGAUAUAAACAGAAGAAAAUGUGCCAUUUCAACAUGGGAUCUUUUUUAGAAUAGCACCAUAUUCACACUAUAAAAUUCUUGCUUGUGUGUCCAUGCACUUGUGCUCCCUCCUGCCAGAAAUUAUUUUAUAAAGUGGCACUUAAAAACAACAGAAAACGCCAACUGAAAAUGUGAUGCAAAUGUUCAUGCAUUUAAAUCCAUGAGAAACUUAGAUGGAUAGCCAGUUCAAGCAUAAAGUGCUCAGAUGGCCAGACCAUAUACAAGCUUAAGUACACAAAAAAAAUUUGUGCUUUGUAGACAGAGGAGGGAAAGAAAAAGAAAAAGAAAAUGUAUUUAUGUGCUGUGAGCUUACACAUAUUUAACUGGUUAGUCUGAACUUUCCUAAGGGUCCCUAAAAAUAAACUGACAACAUCUUAAACUACU